GAUUUCUGGUUAGAGUCAUUUUGUCGGCCACGGUUUCGUGUGUUAGUGCUUUAUGUUCUGACCAUCCUUCCAAUCGCUGCUCACUUUUCUUCAUUGAUUGGUGAGUGGUAUUGGAUCUUUUACUUUGAAAAAAUUAGAGUGUUUCAAGCAGGCUUUAUGCUAUGAAUACAUUAGCAUGGAAUAAUAAUUUAGGACUUCGGUUCUAUUUUGUUGGUUUCUAGGACUGAAGUAAUGAUUGAUAGGGAUAGUUGGGGGUGCUAGUAUUCAGCGGCCAGAGGUGAAAUUCUCGGAUUCGCUGAAGACUAACUUAUGCGAAAGCAUU
Molecule: ribosomal RNA, 322 nt
Filed under: Sandonidae sp.
Lineage: Eukaryota; Cercozoa; Glissomonadida; Sandonidae
Also listed under: 1 other name
Description: SSU rRNA
Rfam family: Eukaryotic small subunit ribosomal RNA (bases 112-322)
Source: RNAcentral